GUGCUAAUACCGGAUAAGCCCUUACGGGGAAAGGUUUAUCGCCGAAAGAUCGGCCCGCGUCUGAUUAGCUAGUUGGUGAGGUAACGGCUCACCAAGGCGACGAUCAGUAGCUGGUCUGAGGGGAUGAUCAGCCACAUUGGGACUGAGACACGGCCCAAACUCCUACGGGAGGCAGCAGUGGGGAAUAUUGGACAAUGGGCGCAAGCCUGAUCCAGCCAUGCCGCGUGAGUGAUGAAGGCCCUAGGGUUGUAAAGCUCUUUUGUGCGGGAAGAUAAUGACGGUACCGCAAGAAUAAGCCCCGGCUAACUUCGUGCCAGCAGCUGCGGUAAUACGAAGGGGGCUAGCGUUGCUCGGAAUCACUGGGCGUAAAGGGUGCGUAGGCGGGUCUUUAAGUCAGGGGUGAAAUCCUUGAGCUCAACUCCAGAACUGCCUUUGAUACUGAAGAUCUUGAGUUCGGGAGAGGUGAGUGGAACUGCGAGUGUAGAGGUGAGAUUCGUAGAUAUUC
RNAcentral lists this ribosomal RNA (505 nucleotides) under uncultured Alphaproteobacteria bacterium. RNAcentral describes it as "bacterial SSU rRNA". It matches the Rfam family "Bacterial small subunit ribosomal RNA", at positions 160 to 699 of the family's 1533-position model. Lineage: Bacteria; Pseudomonadati; Pseudomonadota; Alphaproteobacteria. The record is from RNAcentral.